GGGAAGCGCUUGCAGCCAGACUUGCUUACAGUUGCUCAUCCGGGCUUUUGCCCGGUGCACUCUUCUGUAGGCAGGCCAGCAUCAGUUUGGGCGGUAGGAUAAAGGUCUCUGUCACGUACCUCUCUUCGGGGAGGCCUUAUAGGGGAGACGACAUACUACCAGCCUGGACUGAGGUCCGCGCAUCUGCUAGGAUGCUGGCGUAAUGGCUGUAAGCGGCCCGUCUUGAAACACGGACCAAGGAGUCUAACAUCUAUGCGAGUGUUUGGGUGUCAAGCCCGAGCGCGUAAUGAAAGUGAACGGAGGUAGGAACCCGCAAGGGUGCACUAUCGACCGAUCCUGAUGUCUUCGGAAGGAUUUGAGUAAGAGCAUGGCUGUUGGGACCCGAAAGAUGGUGAACUAUGCUUGAAUAGGGUGAAGCCAGAGGAAACUCUGGCGGAGGCUCGCAGCGGUUCUGACGUGCAAAUCGAUCGUCAAAUUUGGGCAUAGGGGCGAAAGACUAAUCGAACUAUCUAGUAGCUGGUUCCUGCCGAAGUUUCCCUCAGGAUAGCAGUAACGUAUUCAGUUUUAUGAGGUAAAGCGAAUGAUUAGAGGCCUGGGGGUCGAAAUGACCUUCACCUAUUCUCAAACUUUAAAUAUGUAAGAAGUCCUUGUUACUUAAUUGAACGUGGACAGUUGAAUGAAACGUUAUUAGUGGGCCAUUUUUGGUAAGCAGAACUGGCGAUGCGGGAUGAACCGAACGAGGGGUUAAAGUGCCGGAAUACACGCUCAUCAGACACCACAAAAGGUGUAGUUCAUCUAG
RNAcentral lists this ribosomal RNA (799 nucleotides) under uncultured Ascomycota. Its description in RNAcentral is "LSU rRNA". It matches the Rfam family "Eukaryotic large subunit ribosomal RNA", at positions 414 to 1236 of the family's 3401-position model. The record is from RNAcentral. Lineage: Eukaryota; Fungi; Ascomycota.